AGUGAACGCUGGCGGUAGGCCUAACACAUGCAAGUCGAACGGCAGCACAGUAAGAGCUUGCUCUUACGGGUGGCGAGUGGCGAACGGGUGAGGAAUGCAUCGGAAUCUACUUUUUCGUGGGGGAUAACGUAGGGAAACUUACGCUAAUACCGCAUACGACCUACGGGUGAAAGCAGGGGAUCUUCGGACCUUGCGCGAUUGAAUGAGCCGAUGUCGGAUUAGCUAGUUGGCGGGGUAAAGGCCCACCAAGGCGACGAUCCGUAGCUGGUCUGAGAGGAUGAUCAGCCACACUGGAACUGAGACACGGUCCAGACUCCUACGGGAGGCAGCAGUGGGGAAUAUUGGACAAUGGGCGCAAGCCUGAUCCAGCCAUACCGCGUGGGUGAAGAAGGCCUUCGGGUUGUAAAGCCCUUUUGUUGGGAAAGAAAAGCAGCAGGUUAAUACCCCGCUGUUCUGACGGUACCCAAAGAAUAAGCACCGGCUAACUUCGUG
RNAcentral lists this ribosomal RNA (492 nucleotides) under uncultured bacterium. Its description in RNAcentral is "partial 16S ribosomal RNA". It matches the Rfam family "Bacterial small subunit ribosomal RNA", at positions 29 to 507 of the family's 1533-position model. The record is from RNAcentral.